CCUACGGGAGGCAGCAGUGAGGAAUAUUGGUCAAUGGACGAGAGCCUGAACCAGCCAAGUAGCGUGAAGGAUGACUGCCCUAUGGGUUGUAAACUUCUUUUAUAUGGGAAUAAAGUGUUCCAUGUGUAGGAUUUUGUAUGUACCUUAUGAAUAAGGAUCGGCUAACUCCGUGCCAGCAGCCGCGGUAAUACGGAGGAUCCGAGCGUUAUCCGGAUUUAUUGGGUUUAAAGGGAGCGUAGGUGGGUUGUUAAGUCAGUUGUGAAAGUUUGCGGCUCAACCGUAAAAUUGCAGUUGAUACUGGCAGUCUUGAGUACAGUAGAGGUAGGCGGAAUUCGUGGUGUAGCGGUGAAAUGCUUAGAUAUCACGAAGAACUCCGAUUGCGAAGGCAGCUCACUGGACUGCAACUGACGCUGAGGCUCGAAAGUGUGGGUAUCAAACAGGAUUAGAUACCCCAGUAGUC
This 460-nucleotide ribosomal RNA is filed under the name uncultured bacterium. RNAcentral describes it as "partial 16S ribosomal RNA". It matches the Rfam family "Bacterial small subunit ribosomal RNA", at positions 338 to 795 of the family's 1533-position model. The record is from RNAcentral.